GGACGAACGCUGGCGGCGUGCUUAACACAUGCAAGUCGAACGCUGAAGCUUGGUGCUUGCACCGGGUGGAUGAGUGGCGAACGGGUGAGUAAUACGUGAGUGACCUACCUUGGACUCUGGGAUAAGCCUGGGAAACUGGGUCUAAUACCGGAUAUGACCAAUGGGCGCAUGCUCUGUUGGUGGAAAGGGUUUGUACUGGUCUUUGAUGGGCUCACGGCCUAUCAGCUUGUUGGUGAGGUAAUGGCUUACCAAGGCGACGACGGGUAGCCGGCCUGAGAGGGUGACCGGCCACACUGGGACUGAGACACGGCCCAGACUCCUACGGGAGGCAGCAGUGGGGAAUAUUGCACAAUGGGCGCAAGCCUGAUGCAGCGACGCCGCGUGAGGGAUGACGGCCUUCGGGUUGUAAACCUCUUUCAGCAGGGAAGAAGCGAAAGUGACGGUACCUGCAGAAGAAGCGCCGGCUAACUAC
RNAcentral lists this ribosomal RNA (472 nucleotides) under Micrococcaceae bacterium 'ARUP UnID 358'. RNAcentral describes it as "bacterial SSU rRNA". It matches the Rfam family "Bacterial small subunit ribosomal RNA", at positions 27 to 504 of the family's 1533-position model. The record is from RNAcentral. Lineage: Bacteria; Bacillati; Actinomycetota; Actinomycetes; Micrococcales; Micrococcaceae.